UGGGUUUGACAUCCUCUGAUCGUCUGGGAAACCAGAUUUUUCCGGCUUUGUCGGAACAGAGUGACAGGUGCUGCAUGGCUGUCGUCAGCUCGUGUCGUGAGAUGUUGGGUUAAGUCCCGCAACGAGCGUAACCCUUGUCUUUAGUUGCCAUUAUUAAGUUAGGCACUCUAAAGAGACUGCCUCGGUUAACGGGGAGGAAGGUGGGGAUGACGUCAAGUCCUCAUGGCCUUUAUAUCCAGGGCUACACACGUGCUACAAUGGGCUGUACAAAGGGUUGCUAACCCGCGAGGGUGCGCUAAUCCCAAAAAGCAGUUCUCAGUUCGGAUUGAAGUCUGCAACUCGACUUCAUGAAGG
This 354-nucleotide ribosomal RNA is filed under the name uncultured bacterium. RNAcentral describes it as "bacterial SSU rRNA". It matches the Rfam family "Bacterial small subunit ribosomal RNA", at positions 976 to 1325 of the family's 1533-position model. The record is from RNAcentral.